AGAGUUUGAUUCUGGCUCAGAACGAACGCUGGCGGCGUGGAUUAGGCAUGCAAGUCGAACGCGAAGCCGAUGAACAAUCUUUCGGGAGAGUGAUUCGGUGGAAAGUGGCGGAAGGGUGAGUAACGCGUGGGUAAGCUACCUCGGAGUUGGGGACAACCAGAUGAAAAUCUAGCUAAUACCGAAUGUGGUCCUUUGGCACAUGCCAAGGUGACUAAAGGUGGGGCUCCUUUAUUGGACCUGCCGCUUUGAGAUGCACCCGCGUGCCAUCAGCUUGUUGGUAGGGUAACGGCCUACCAAGGCUUACGGCUAGCCGGCCUGAGAGGGUGAUCGGCCACACUGGGACUGAGACACUGCCCAGACUCCUACGGGAGGCUGCAGUCGAGGAUCAUUCGCAAUGCGCGAAAGCGUGACGAUGCGACGCUGCGUGGGGGAUGAAGGCCUUCGGGUCGUAACUCCUGUCAUGAGGGAAAAGUAUCCCUGCGACGAAUAGUCGCGGGGCUCGAUGGUACCUCAAGAGGAAGCCACGGCUAACUCUGUGCCAGCAGCCGCGGUAAUACAGAGGUGGCGAGCGUUGUUCGGAUUUACUGGGCGUAAAGGGUGCGUAGGUGGUUUCGUGUGUCGGAUGUGAAAGCCCAUGGCUCAACCGUGGAAUUGCAUUCGAAACUGCAGAACUAGAGUGCAGGAUGGGAGAGCGGAAUUCUUGGUGUAGCGGUGAAAUGCGUUGAUAUCAAGAAGAACACCGGUGGCGAAGGCGGCUCUCUGGAAUGCUACUGACACUGAGGCACGAAAGCUGGGGGAGCAAACAGGAUUAGAUACCCUGGUAGUCCCAGCCGUAAACGGUGCACACUUGGUGUGGGGAGAUUUAACCCUCUCCGUGCCGGAGCUAACGCGUUAAGUGUGCCGCCUGGGGAGUACGGCCGCAAGGCUAAAACUCAAAGAAAUUGACGGGGGCCCGCACAAGCGGAGGAGCAUGUGGCUUAAUUCGAUGCAACGCGAAGAACCUUACCAGGGCUUGACAUAUACCUGCAAACCCCGUGAAAGCGGGGAAUCCUUCGAGGGUGGUAUACAGGUGCUGCAUGGCUGUCGUCAGUUCGUGCCGUGAGGUGUUGGGUUAAGUCCCGUAACGAACGCAACCCUUGUGACUAGUUGCCACCGGCGGUGAUGAGCCGCCGAGCACUCUAGUCAGACUGCCCGUACAAGCGGGAGGAAGGUGGGGAUGACGUCAAGUCAGUAUGGCCCUUACGCCCUGGGCUGCACACGUGCUACAAUGGUCGGUACAAUGGGAUGCAAUAUCGCGAGGUGGAGCAAAUCCAGAAAGCCGGCCUCAGUUCGGAUUGAAGUCUGCAACUCGACUUCAUGAAGU
This 1363-nucleotide ribosomal RNA is filed under the name metagenome. RNAcentral describes it as "bacterial SSU rRNA". It matches the Rfam family "Bacterial small subunit ribosomal RNA", at positions 8 to 1326 of the family's 1533-position model. The record is from RNAcentral.